GGCUAACUGGUAUCAAGCGUUGAUAUUUCUAGUUUUAAUUGCUCUUUGUCAAGGCCUCUUUGAAUGGAAGAACUGUGGCCAUGUAAAGAAUGAUAGCGGCUCAACAAAUUUCCCGCUUCGGGCAAAGGGCUGUGAGGGCAGGAAAGAUGUUGUCUUGUCGUGUAGGCCUGGGUACAAGAUUUCAGUCCUUAAGGCGUUCUUUGGUCAUGGCCAAGGGUACAAGUCUACUUGUGAGAACAGUUGGAUUGGUCAGAACUGCAUGUCAUACAGCGCAGAAGCGAAGAUCAGGCUUUUAUGUCAAGAYAAGAUUACAUGUACGAUAUCGCCGACCUCGAGUGUGCUCGGGAAAACAUCGUGUAUGUUCGGGUUGUAUUCGGAUUUAAUUAUCGAUUACAUAUGUCACAAAGAACUUCUGCAAGAUUCUACUUUAAUGCAAUCGUUCAAACUAUCCCCAAGCCCUAUCGUCCUUCCUGGUCAAUUCAAUGCGUCGAUUGCAUUAAUGGUUAAUAGACGUCUUCCUGGAUCUAUCAAACUGA
Long non-coding RNA from Exaiptasia diaphana, 536 nucleotides. RefSeq lists it as uncharacterized. The record is from RefSeq and is a predicted model, not a curated record. The transcript is spliced from 3 exons. NCBI's taxonomy places the organism in Eukaryota, Metazoa, Cnidaria, Anthozoa, Actiniaria, Aiptasiidae.